Molecule: transfer RNA, 61 nt
Filed under: Aspidoscelis tigris
Lineage: Eukaryota; Metazoa; Chordata; Lepidosauria; Squamata; Teiidae
Description: tRNA-Ser
Source: RNAcentral
AAGAGUGAAGACACAUACACUGCUAAUGUUAGUACCUAGACAUAACACCCUAGCACUCUUA